RNAcentral lists this ribosomal RNA (1237 nucleotides) under metagenome. Its description in RNAcentral is "bacterial LSU rRNA". It matches the Rfam family "Bacterial large subunit ribosomal RNA", at positions 1564 to 2810 of the family's 2925-position model. The record is from RNAcentral.
UGAUGACGAGACGCUAAGGCGUUGAAGCAGUGUAUGUCAGACUUCCAAGAAAAGCUCGCAAUGUCACAAAUGAAAAAUGCCUGUACCAUAACCGACACAGGUGGGUAGGUAGAGUACACUAAGGGGCGCGAGAUAACUCUCUCUAAGGAACUCGGCAAAAUGACUCCGUAACUUCGGGAGAAGGAGUGCCUUAUUUAUAAGGUUGCAAUAACAAGAUCCAAGCAACUGUUUAUCAAAAACACAGGUCUCCGCUAAGUCGUAAGACGAUGUAUGGGGGCUGACGCCUGCCCAGUGCCAGAAGGUUAAAGAAGUUGGUUAGUGUAUGCGAAGCUGAUGACUGAAGCCCUGGUGAACGGCGGCCGUAACAAUAACGGUCCUAAGGUAGCGAAAUUCCUUGUCGGGUAAGUUCCGACCCGCACGAAAGGCGUAAUGAUUUGGAUACUGUCUCGGAGAGAGGCUCGGUGAAAUAGACUUGUCUGUGAAGAUGCGGACUACCUGCACCAGGACAGAAAGACCCUAUGAAGCUUUACUGUAACUUGAAAUUGGAAUUGGACUUUGCUUGCGCAGUAUAGGUGGGAAGCGUUGAAAAUAUUCUUGCGGGAGUAUUGGAGCUAUCAGUGAGAUACCACUCUUGUAAUGUUAGAUUUCUAACUUUGAACCAUAAUCUGGUCAAAGAACAGUUUCAGGUGGGCAGUUUGACUGGGGCGAUCGCCUCCCAAAUGGUAACGGAGGCGUACAAAGGUUUCCUCUGAACGGAUAGAAAUCGUAUCUAGAGUGUAAAGGCAUAAGGAAGCUUGACUGUGAGACCUACAAGUCGAGCAGGGACGAAAGUCGGUCUUAGUGAUCUGACGGUACUGAGUGGAAAGGCCGUCACUCAACGGAUAAAAGUUACUCUAAGGAUAACAGGCUGAUCUCCCCCAAGAGUUCACAUCGACGGGGAGGUUUGGCACCUCGAUGUCGGCUCAUCGCAUCCUGGGGCGGUGGUACGUCCCAAGGGUUGGGCUGUUCGCCCAUGAAAGCGGUACGCGAGCUGGGUUCAGAACGUCGUGAGACAGUUCGGUCCAUAUCCGGUGUAGGCGCUAGAAUAUUGAGAGGAGCCUUCUUUAGUACGAGAGGACCGAGAAGGACACACCGCUGGUGUACCAGUUAUCGUGCCAACGGUAAACGCUGGGUAGCUAUGUGUGGAGUGGAUAACCGCUGAAAGCAUCUAAGUGGGAAGCCCACCUCGAGAUGAGUA